Long non-coding RNA from Carassius auratus (goldfish), 3538 nucleotides. The record is from Ensembl. NCBI's taxonomy places the organism in Eukaryota, Metazoa, Chordata, Actinopteri, Cypriniformes, Cyprinidae.
CCAGGAGGUAACAGGGAAUUUAUAACUGUGAUUUCCCGGCAAACAGAUGAAGUCCUAAAAGGCAAGAAUCAAGUGUGUGUUGUAUCUUUGUUUGUAAACACCAUUAAUAAUGAGUGUUUCCUGUGUGUGACGGGGGUUUUGAUCAUGACAUUGAUUGUGGGUCUGGAGCAGCAGUGUGAGCUGACCUGUCGACCGGUCGGGUAUCGUUUCUACGUGCGACAGGCGGAGAAGGUACGAGAUGGAACGCCCUGCGCAAAUAACACACCCAACGAUGUGUGUGUGGGAGGACGCUGUCUGAGCGAGGGCUGUGACGGUGUGUUGGGCUCAGGGUUGGUCCGGGAUCGCUGUGGCAUGUGCGGCGGGGGAGACAGCACCUGUGAGAGGGUCACAGGAAGUUUCCUGAACACCAGCGUCCCACUGGGCUACCACAAGAUCCUGAACAUCCCACCCGGAGCCACGGCCAUCAACAUCACUGAGAGACGAGCCAGUCCCAACUAUCUGGCCCUGCGCAGUGGAACGGGUCAGUCAGUGGUGAACGGACGCUGGGCGGUCGAUCCUCCAGGAGAGUAUCAGGCUGGAGGAACCACCUUCCUGUACAGCCGACCCAAAUCUGGGCCUCAAGAGCAGGGAGAAGAGAGAGGAGAAACCCUCAGCGCUCCUGGACCCACAACAGCCCAGCUGCAGCUAUACGUAAUGGAAGUGGAGAAUCCUAUUGCUGCUCCUCCUGUGUCGUCUUCCGCCUCCUCACCUCCAUUUUCAUUCCCUUCCUCCUCAUCUUCAUCAUCGUCUUCCUCUGUAUCUGAUCGAUGGCCACAAGAGAGGCCCCGCCCACAGGGCUUAGGACCCAAUCGCAACGCUCGAAUCCCUCCAAGAACGGACCUCCCAUUGGACAAUCAGCCUGCGUUCGUGUGGCGAAGGGGUGCGCUGACAGAAUGCACUGCUACCUGCGGAAAAGGCUCUCAGUACAGAGAGAUUGUGUGUGUGAGUCGACACACAGAACAGGAAGUCCAUGAGAGGAGGUGUGACUCUGCAACCAAACCUGCGCCGGAGGAGGAACCGUGUAACGUUCAUCCCUGUCCACCGUUCUGGGAUAUGGGCGUGUGGUCCGAGUGCAGUGUCUCCUGUGGCUGGGGUGUGCAGCAGCGUCACAUACAGUGCAGGCAGAGUUUUGGGAAUCGCUCCACCAUGGUUCACCCUCAGCGCUGUGCCAGUCUCAGCCGCCCAAACGCCACGCAGCCCUGCCACCCACACGUCUGCUCGCACUGGGAGAUCAGCACCAACUGGAGCACGUGCUCAGUGGAUUGUGGACUGGGAAAGAGAUCCCGGAGCGUGCGCUGUGUCAGUGACCAUGGCAACACUGUGAGUGACAGGGAGUGCAGUGACAGGCUCCGCCCACAGCACACCGAGGACUGUCACAUGGGUCCUUGUGUCACGAACUGGUACUUCACGGACUGGACAAACACUUGCUCUGCGACGUGUGGGCCGGGCGUCCAGCGGAGAGAGGUGGUGUGUUUGAUCGUCGGGAGAGGAGACAGAGAAGUGAAGUGUGCGGGGGAGAAACCGGCUGAUAUGAAGGCCUGUAACGGGGGCCCCUGUACACCCACCCACCUCUGGUACACCGGACCCUGGGGACAGUGUAACGCAGCGUGUGGAAGCGGCACCCAGCGCAGGGACAUCAUCUGCGUGAGGAAGACAGGAAGUGACUUCACCGUGAGCGCUGCCAGUGAGUGCUCACACCUGGAGAAACCGUCUCCCGUGCAGCCGUGUGAGCUGCAGCCCUGCACACCGCAGUGGUUCACCACCGAGUGGAGCGCGUGCUCUCGGUCCUGCGGUGAAGGGGUGCAGACGCGGGAGGUGCGGUGUCUCACAGCUGACAAACAGCACAACACAGCCUGUGAUCUGGACUCAAGACCUGCCCAUGAGCGCUCCUGCAACACCAUACCCUGCAGUCCCUUCGAAGAUGAGAACUGUAAGGACAGAAGACAUAACUGUGUAACGGUGGUCCAGGCUCGACUCUGCGUCUACUCUUACUAUAAGAGCGCCUGCUGUGCGUCCUGCACCCAGAGUGCUCAGCGGGCCAAGAGACACUAACCCUGCACAAGCCACAGAGACAUCAGGUUCAGAGAUUCACCACCAGAGCCAAAACUCAGCCAAUCACAGUUCUCUCAGAGGAAACAGCCAAUCAGACGCCAUUCAGGUUCAAAAGGAAUUCCAAAAGAGAAUUCCAACUUGAGAUCAGGAUCCCUUUAAAGUUUGAAAAUGUUAACGCAUAUGGACUCAUGGGCUCAAAUGAUUGACAGUAGCUCUUUCCCCAUUGGUGAUGAGUGUUUAGUACACUAUCCUGUCAAAUACUCAACCAUUCCAGGUUUAUUUGUGUGACUGAGGUAUGAUAAAACAAGCAGAUUAAAAUUAUAUACUUAUUGCAUAAAACUUGUGAGCAGCGAUACAUUUUUACAUUAAAAAAAAAAAAAAAAACCUUUGGCCUUGUCUCAGUCCUCUAAAUGGCCCAUAAGAUAUCAGUACUUCAGAAAGGACAUACAUAUUCCAGCAUAAGUGCUCAGAUUGUCUAAAAAUAGCACACUUAGUGCUGACAGUCAGUCCUACAGAUCGUAUUUGAGUGCAGUGUGAACAGAAACCUGUAAAUCUACUAUGAAUCUAGUUCAUCAUUAAGCUAUAAAGAGAAGAUUAGCAUCAUGAUCAGCUCUCUUUAUUUGAUUCAGUCUUUAUUUCUUUUGGUUGGUUUUGUCUGAAUGUAUAUCAGUCCUUUUAGUGUUUCAUGUUUUUGUCAUUUUUUGUGUGACACGUUUUUUGUUUUGUUGUUUAUUGUUAUUUCUGGCUGUUUUUAUUGGUUCCCAUAUUGUAAAUUUAAGAAAAAGUUCACCCAGAAAUGUAAAUGUGCUCACCUGUCCAAUAUAAGGAGAAGUUUGUUUCUUCAUCAGGUUUGUAGAAAUGUAGCAUUGCAUCAGUGUGUCAUCAAUGGAUGCUCUGCAGUGAAUGGGUGCCGUCAGAAUGAGAGUCCAAACAGCUGAUAAAAACAUCACAAUAAUCCACAACACUCCAGUCCAUCAGUUAAUGUAUUUUCCUUAAUUUCAAAUAUUUUAAGUUUUAAGCAUAUUUCUCUUCUGGUUCAGAUGAGAUGGACUUUUUCACUGGAGGAAGCAUCAUUAUGAAUCAAUGGUUUGAAGUUAAAAUGUUAUUAGUCUCCAGAUGUUAGUUAAUGUGGUGUUUUUAUCAGUUGUUUGGACUCUCAUUCUGACAGUAUAGUGAUUUCAGCCGAAGUCAGGUACAAUGCAAGACCACUGCCUUGGAUCAAACUGAGAUUAAAAUACUCUCUAGUGUUAGAACAUGUGAGAUUUCCAAUUAACAUUUUAGUAUAUAAAUACAGUCAGUUGUGUGUGUUCGUGUGUGUGUGUGUGUGUGUGUGUGUGUGUGUGUUUCAUGUCUGAGAGUUUAUGUAUAUUAUGUAUAUUAUCACGUACGUUUAGACAGGUAGCAGAUAGUCUUUAGAUGAAUAAAAAGAUGCUUUAUAUAUAAAACA